ACACGACUCUCGGCAAUGUAUAUCUCGGCUCUCGCAUCGAUGAAGAGCGCAGCGAAAUGCGAUAUGUGGUGCGAAUUGCAGAAUCCCGCGAACCAUCGAGUCUUUGAACGCAAGUUGCGCCUGAGGCCAACCGGCUGAGGGCACGUCCGCCUGGGCGUCAAGC
This 163-nucleotide ribosomal RNA is filed under the name Dendrobium huoshanense. Its description in RNAcentral is "5.8S ribosomal RNA". It matches the Rfam family "5.8S ribosomal RNA". Rfam says of the family: 5.8S ribosomal RNA (5.8S rRNA) is a component of the large subunit of the eukaryotic ribosome. The record is from RNAcentral. Lineage: Eukaryota; Viridiplantae; Streptophyta; Magnoliopsida; Asparagales; Orchidaceae.